UACGAAGGGGGCUAGCGUUGCUCGGAAUCACUGGGCGUAAAGGGUGCGUAGGCGGGUCUUUAAGUCAGGGGUGAAAUCCUGGAGCUCAACUCCAGAACUGCCUUUGAUACUGGAAAGCUUGAGUUCGGGAGAGGUGAGUGGAACUGCGAGUGUAGAGGUGAAAUUCGUAGAUAUUCGCAAGAACACCAGUGGCGAAGGCGGCUCACUGGCCCGAUACUGACGCCGAGGUGCGAAAGCGUGGGGAGCAAACAGG
RNAcentral lists this ribosomal RNA (253 nucleotides) under uncultured bacterium. RNAcentral describes it as "partial 16S ribosomal RNA". It matches the Rfam family "Bacterial small subunit ribosomal RNA", at positions 524 to 776 of the family's 1533-position model. The record is from RNAcentral.